UACGGGGGGGGCAAGCGUUGUUCGGAAUUACUGGGCGUAAAGGGCUCGUAGGCGGCCAACUAAGUCAGACGUGAAAUCCCUCGGCUUAACCGGGGAACUGCGUCUGAUACUGGAUGGCUUGAAUCCGGGAGAGGGAUGCGGAAUUCCAGGUUUAGCGGUGAAAUGCGUAGAUAUCCGGAGGAACACCGGUGGCGAAGGCGGCUUCCUGGACCGACACUGACGCUGAGGCGCGAAAGCUAGGGGAGCAAACGGG
Molecule: ribosomal RNA, 253 nt
Filed under: uncultured bacterium
Lineage: Bacteria
Description: partial 16S ribosomal RNA
Rfam family: Bacterial small subunit ribosomal RNA
Source: RNAcentral